Molecule: non-coding RNA, 74 nt
Organism: Parelaphostrongylus tenuis
Lineage: Eukaryota; Metazoa; Nematoda; Chromadorea; Rhabditida; Metastrongylidae
Source: the annotation of a GenBank genome assembly
GCGUCAGUAGUGCAACGGAUAGAGCACGCGCUCCCGGAGAAAGUGAGGUGCGGGAUCUAGUCCCGCCUCGCGCA